GACGAACGCUGGCGGCGUGCCUAAUACAUGCAAGUUGAGCGAUGAAGCUUGGUGCUUGCACCAAUUUGAAGAGCAGCGAACGGGUGAGUAACGCGUGGGGAAUCUGCCUUUGAGCGGGGGACAACAUUUGGAAACGAAUGCUAAUACCGCAUAACAACUUUAAACAUAAGUUUUAAGUUUGAAAGAUGCAAUUGCAUCACUCAAAGAUGAUCCCGCGUUGUAUUAGCUAGUUGGUGAGGUAAAGGCUCACCAAGGCGAUGAUACAUAGCCGACCUGAGAGGGUGAUCGGCCACAUUGGGACUGAGACACGGCCCAAACUCCUACGGGAGGCAGCAGUAGGGAAUCUUCGGCAAUGGACGAAAGUCUGACCGAGCAACGCCGCGUGAGUGAAGAAGGGUUUCGGAUCGUAAAACUCGGUUGGUAGAGAAGAACGUUGGUGAGAGUGGAAAGCUCAUCAAGUGACGGUAACUACCCAGAAAGGGACGGCUAACUACGUG
Molecule: ribosomal RNA, 497 nt
Filed under: uncultured bacterium
Lineage: Bacteria
Description: partial 16S ribosomal RNA
Rfam family: Bacterial small subunit ribosomal RNA
Source: RNAcentral